Molecule: long non-coding RNA, 520 nt
Organism: Mauremys mutica (yellowpond turtle)
Lineage: Eukaryota; Metazoa; Chordata; Testudines; Geoemydidae
Exons: 3
Source: RefSeq, a predicted model, not a curated record
GGCACUAGCUGGACUUUGCUACUUCAGAAAACACAAGAGGAGCUACGGUCUGUUAGCUCAAAGACCGUACAUACUCAAACCUCUAUGAGGUCCAGCCACUAACGGCAGACAGAGCACCUUAAGGAGUUACAACUACAUCUACUCACGCUGGGCAGGUAUGUACCUAUUGGACAAUCAGAGGAGCCCACUUCAUUCCUAUGACUCCCAAAUCAGAAUUCAACAUAUAUAUAUAUUUUAUACUAAUACAUUUUAUUAAAGUAUUAAUUAAAUGUUAACUUGUUAACCUAAAACCAUGGGCGGAGACAUUAUGUAACUUUUGACUACUGGCUACUGUGCUAUCUUGUCUUGCUGCUAGACCUCUCCGCGGUUUUGGGACUACCUACGCCAUCACUUUCCCCCGCCCAUGGAAAAGCCAUAGAAUCCACUGUAAUCAAUCGAUUGAUAGUGUGUCUCUUAGCCUAAAAAGCAAGGUGUCACUCCAUCAGCGCUGUACAUAAUAAACUCCUAUGCUUGACUUCUA